This 5422-nucleotide long non-coding RNA is filed under the name Sus scrofa (pig). Its description in RNAcentral is "lncRNA (ENSSSCG00005036963.1)". Lineage: Eukaryota; Metazoa; Chordata; Mammalia; Artiodactyla; Suidae. The record is from RNAcentral.
UUUUUUCUUUUUUUUUUUUUGUUUUUUUGUCUUUUUGCUAUUUCUUGGGCCGCUCCAUAUGGAGGUUUCCAGGCUAGGGGUCGAAUCGGAGCUGUAGCCACCAGCCUAUGCCAGAGCCACAGCAACGCGGGAUCCGAGCCGCAUCUGCAACCUACACCACAGCUCAUGGCAACACUGGAUCGUUAACCCACUGAGCAAGCACAGGGACCGAACCUGCAACCUCAUGGUUCCUAGUCGGAUUCGUUAACCACUGCGCCACAAUGGGAACUCCCCAUUUCUUUUUUUUAAUUUUUUUUUGUCUUUCUGCCAUUUCUCGGGCUGCUCCCGUGGCAUAUGGAGGUUCCCAGGCUAGGGGUCUAAUCGGAGCUGUUGCCACUGGCCUACGCCAGAGCCACAGCAACAGCAACGGGGGAUCCGAGCCGCGUCUGCCACCUACACCACAGCUCACAGCAAGGCCAGAUCCUUAACCAACUGAGCAAGGCCAGGGAUCGAACCCACAACCUCAUGGUUCCUAGUUGGAUUCAUUAACCACUGAGCCACGAUGAGAACUCCUACAUGUACCUUUCUAGAAAAUUCAUAUGAUAUCACACACAUGUGGAAUCUAAAAUAUGACACAAAUGAACCUAUCUACAAAACAAAGAGAUGCAGGGACAAGGAGAACAAACCUGUGGUUGCAAAGGGGGGAGAAGGUGGUGGAGAGGGAUGGAUUGGGGGUUUGGGAUUAGCAGAUAGAAAAUAUAUAAAGAAUAGAUAAACAAAAUUCAAAUGAAUCUAUAGACAGAAAGCUGAUCCUUGGCUGUUUAGGUGAAGGGAACAGGGUGGGAGGGAGGACAAAGGAGCUGGGGAGAAUUUUUGGGUGAUAGAUAUGCUAUCUUUUUUUUUUUUUUUGCUUUUCAAGGCUAUACCUGUGGCAUGUGGAGCUCCCCUGCCAAAAAAGUACGUGGAUUAUGAAAGUAUGUGCAAUUUUAUAAAACUUCUUGUUUUCUUUUCAAAAUGUCCAAUCCUCAAGCCCGAUCACCGAGUUUCACAGGCGCCACCACAGGGAGACAGCUGGGAAUCUGUGAGCGUGUGUGUCUAUGCUCAGAGGUGCCAGGUGGUGCCACACACCUGACAGCCCUACAGGAAACGAUGAGUCUCAUAUGAACACACCCACACUCACACAUGUGCAUGCUCCCGCACAUACACACAGGGACACACGCACACAGACCUCACGUUCAUACAAAUAUACACAGCACAGACAUGUGCAUACACGCACUUAUGCAGACCCAGGGCUUCAUGAAGAGCCCAUCCCUCUGUGACACAUACGACACAGCUAACACGCACCACAACUUUUGGGGGCGCAAUCCAGCUCAAGGACUGGGGGCUUUAGUUGGUCUCACACUGAAGCUGCCUGGAGGUAGGUGGCAGAAAGACCCCAUGGAUGCGCCUGCAUUCUCCCAGCAGACACCGAGCUGAGAGGCCAUCAGGAUCCAAUCAUAUGACCUUGCUCCUGCUCCCAGGGCCUCUGUCACCUGCUUUGAGGAAGGUCUUGCUGACGCUUAGAUAGGCUGAGGCUCUGUGCCCUCCAACAUCCUCCAGGGCCAGCUGAUCAAGAGGCACUCGCACGGCCACAGAGGGGACUUUGACAGCUCUGGGUCCCUUGGUGGGGGUAGCAGGAGACCCCAUGCUCAGAGACUGGGGGCCGUGGGGGCAGUCACAGGUCCAGUCAAGGCACACCCCACCCCCAGGCCAGGAGGAAGUAGAUAAGGCUUGCUCAAGGCGUCUGCUGACCACCCUGACCACUGGGGCUGUAGAGGGGGUGGUUAGCCAAAGAGAAGGGGCGGAGCAGGGCAGACAUCAGCCAGGGGCCCUUGCAGGAGUCCCCACAGGGACCAGCUGACCUGCCCUAUAGCAGUUGCCCCCCCAGCCAUUGUAGCCCACUCAGGCCCACCACACCUGUACCUGGAAACUCCUCCAUCCUGGACCUCCCCACCCAGCCAGCCUCUCCUGGGCCUGCUCUGCAGGGAGCCUACACUUCCCUCCCAGAGCAGCUCCCUUUCUCAGCUUCCCAGCGGGAGGACCCUCCUAUUAAAAGAGCUCAUGUGUCUUAAAACCAGAGACACCUACAAAUCCUUCUCCAGCCUAGGGUAGAGGUCCUUCCCUGCUUCCCUGUAGCCUGGAGCCAACCCUUCCUGCUCCCACAUGCCCCUCGGCCCACACCCCCACUCCCAUGCCACAGAAACCACUGUUACCCACCCCAAAGGUGCCAUCAGACUCCUGCCAGUCAGACCUGCUGGCCAGCGGCUUCUCCAGGUCCUGCUUACUUACUCUGCAGCCCUGGGGACCCUGGGGUCAUCCGGACCUGCCACUGUGUAGGGGACCCUCUCCUGCCCUGAUCCCCAGGCUUUGCACCUAGAGCCAACAUCCAUUCUGUUGUGCCCCCUCAGGGGCCAAGUUCAUGUCCAUGGACGCUCACCCCACCUCCACCCCUCAACACCCAGGGUGUUUGUCCCUUGCUCCUCCCACUGACCACAUCCUGUCUGCUGUCCCCGGAACAGCCUUCUCUUCUCAUCGGGAGGUCAGGAGGGCCCCCGGGGCCCCCUGACUCCAUCCUCUGGGUCACUGCAGGAGAGUACCUGGAAGCAUCGGUCUAGAUGUGGGUGUCCCAGUACAGAGCCCCCAGGGGCACCCCCCUGACCAGCCCUAACCCCCGGGCCCUCAAGCCCCAUACAGCACAGCCCCGCUUUGGUAGAUCUGCUGCUGCAGGAAGCGGUUCUCAGACGCAUUCUGGCUGCUCCCACCCAGCCAGGCCCAGGCUCGCAGGCCAGACCUCGCAGGGUCCCUCUAGCCCAGUCGCAAAGAAGUUGCCCAAAGCCUCCAACUCUCAAUGGGAAGUCUGGUUCCUUCAGCUUGGGCUUCAUCUCCAAGAGACACUGCCCCUGCAACUCAGACGGGAACUGGCCCCACCCUGCUGCCUCCUUCUGGUGCCAUCCUUGUCCCUUGUCCUCACCCUCAGGUUGGUACGCCCCUCGAAGCCCCCCACCAGAGGCAGUUCUGCUCCCAAUACAGAUGUACCCUCUUAGACUCAGAGUUGCCUCAUUCUACGGGGAGGCACUGUUUUCUUUUUUUUUCCAUUUUUGGCUGCCUCCGCAGUACAUGGAGCUGUGGGCCAGGGGUCAGAUCUGAGCCGUAGUCUUGACCUAAGCUGCAGCUGUGGCAACGCCAGAUCCUUAAGCCACUGUGGCGGGCCAGGGACUGAACCAGCAUCCGAGCACUCCCAAGACGCCGCUGAUCCCAUUGCACCACAGUGGAAACUCUGGUGGCACCAUUUUAACCUAAGCCCUGGGGCUGACCUGAUCCCCUCUACAUCCUCACUACAAAGGCCCCCGACCUGUUCUGCAAAAAUGACUUCCAGAGAAGUCCACCCAAGGGAGAGAUCCUGCCUGGAGCAGCCUGAGAGGUGCCACCUCCAAGCAUCCUCGCUGGCGCUAAGAGUUAACUGUUUUCUCAAUCCAUGGCCAUCAGUGGGCCUGAAAGAGCACUUUGUCACUUUUAAUCCUCUGACGGUCAGGCUGAGUUUUUUUUGAGAAUUAGUGGAUUCAGUAACCAUUUUUCUGUUUCUGGAAGUUGUUCAUGUUGGUUGCAUUCCCCCCCGCCCCACUGAACCAUGCCUACCUAAUUUAUUGCUUUGGAGGAGCUCUUUGUAUAGGAUGCUCUUGGCAUCAUUUGAUGAACCUAAUUCAAACCAGUUUACCUCUUUUUUUUUAUUUUUACUUUUUUUUGUCUUUUGUCUUUUGUCCUUUUAGGGUCACACCCGCGGCAUAUAAAGAUUCCCAGACUAGGGGUAGAACUGGAGCUGUAGCCGCCAGCCUACGCCAGAGCCACAUAAACAUGGGAUGCGAGCCGCAUCUGUGACCUAUACCACAGCUCACGGCAACACCGGAUCCUUAACCCACUGAGCGAGGGCAGGGAUCAAACCCGCAUGGUUCUUAGUCAGGUUGUUUCCACUGCUCCACGACGGGAACUCCCCAAUUUACUUCUAAGUAUGGUGUUUUUGGAUACAAAUACUGUAUUCCCCAGCAGCUGGAUCUGUGGGUCAUUUCAUGAUGUCUGCCGCCCACUCCUCUCCCAGAUCUGAUGAACAUGGAAUCACCUUCUGCACUCCUCUCCCUCCCUGGACUUCUUACAUUUAAGCUUUUAUCCAUCUGGAAGUUAUACUGGCGGGGGUGGGGGGGGUAAGAGUUUGCUAGGGCUGCUCUAACAAAGUACCACAAACCAGGUGGCUUAAAACAAGAGAAAUACACUGUCUCGGGUUUCAGGAUGAAUGCAAACUCAAGGUGGGGGUGGGGAUGGCUCCCUUCAGAGGCUCGGAGGGAGACAGGGUCUCGUGCCUCUCCAGCUUUGGGGGACCCUCACUGCUCCUUGGCUUGUAGAUGUACACCCCUCUGAUUUCCUUUCCCAACAGCACAUGGUAGCGUUCACUGUCUCUGUGUCCUCUCUUCCUCGUAUAAAGACACCAGUUAUUGGAUUCAGGAUGAAGUCGCUUUGAGACCUUUAAUCACAUCUGCAAAGACCUUACUUCCAAUCAAGGUCACACUCUAAAGUUCUGAGCAGACAUGAACUUCAAGGGACACUUGUCGACCCAGUACAGCGUGGAAAGUGAAAGGAGGAUCUAGGAGUUUCCUAGUGGCUUAGUGGGUUAAGGAUCCAGGAUUGUCACAGCUGUGGCUCAGGCUAUGGCUGUUGUGGGUUCAGUCCUUCGCAGGGAACUUCCACAGGCCGCAAGUGCAGCCAAAAAACAGAGAAGAUGAUCCAGAUGGUCUCCAAAGAGUGAAUCAAUUGUUUUAAUGGUUUUUUGUUUGUAAUUUUUUUUGUAAACUGCUACACCUGUGGCCUAUAGGUUGAAUAAGAGCUGCAGCUGCCAGCCUGCGCCACAGCCACACCAACACCAGAUCUGAGCCACAUCUUCCACCUACGCCAUAGCUUGAGGCAACACUGGGUCCUUAACACCCUAAGCGAGGCCUGGAAUCAAACCUGCAUCCUCACAGACACUAUGUCGGGUUCUUAACCUGCUGAGCCACAACGGACACUUCUGUGUUUGUAGUUUUUAAAAAUUAUUUACUUAUUUAUUUAUUUUUGCUUUUUAGGGCUGCACUCUUGGCAUAUGGAAGUUCCCAGGCUAGGGGUUGAAUCUGAGCUACAGCUGCCCGCCUACACCACAGCCACAGCAAUGCAGGAUCCUAGCCAUGUCUGUGUCCUACACCAUGGCUCACGGCAACGCCAGAUCCUUGACCUACUGGGUGUGGCCAGGGAUUGAACCUGCAUCCUCUUGGAUCUGAGUUGGGUUCAUUAACUGCUGCCCAAUAGCGGGAACUCCAUGUUUUUUAUUUUUUUGUUUUUUAUGGCUUCACAGUGACAUAUGGAAGUUCCUAGGCUAGGGGUC